This 194-nucleotide non-coding RNA is filed under the name Subdoligranulum variabile. RNAcentral describes it as "6S RNA". It matches the Rfam family "6S / SsrS RNA". Rfam says of the family: E. coli 6S RNA was the first non coding RNA to be sequenced, but its function was unknown until recently. It consists of 184 nucleotides that fold into an extended hairpin structure with a large single-stranded internal bulge. RNAcentral also lists the same sequence under 2 other names. The record is from RNAcentral. Lineage: Bacteria; Bacillati; Bacillota; Clostridia; Eubacteriales; Oscillospiraceae.
CACACCCUGCGCGGUUCGAUUUGUUGCGGCCUUAUAAAAUCCUACUAAUCAAAUUUAGGGAAUCCGGGUCUGGGACUGGAUUGCAAACCUUCCCGCCUUCGGGCUGAAGAAGGGAGCGUGAACGCCCCCGUAGGAUACCCACCUGCCUAUACCGGUAGGUUUUGAUUGGCUGCAGACGGCUGUGCGGGGUUUUU